Molecule: ribosomal RNA, 406 nt
Filed under: uncultured bacterium
Lineage: Bacteria
Description: partial 16S ribosomal RNA
Rfam family: Bacterial small subunit ribosomal RNA
Source: RNAcentral
AUUGAACGCUGGCGGCAGGCCUAACACAUGCAAGUCGAACGCGUGGCGGACGGGUGAGUAAUGUCUGGGAAACUCCCCGGGGGAGGGGGGUAACUACUGGACACGGUAUCAAAUACCGCAUACCAUCGGAUGUGCCCAUAUGGGAUUCGCUAGUAGGUGGGGUAACGGCUCACCUAGGCGACGAUCCCUAGCUGGUCUGAGAGGAUGACCAGCCACACUGGAACUGAGACACGGUCCAGACUCCUACGGGAGGCAGCAGUGGGGAAUAUUGCACAAUGGGCGCAAGCCUGAUGCAGCCAUGCCGCGUGUAUGAAGAAGGCCUUCGGGUUGUAAAGUACUUUCAGCGAGGAGGCGUUACUCGCAGAAGAAGCACCGGCUAACUCCGUGCCAGCAGCCGCGGUAAUAC